GCCGGGGUGGCGGAACUGGUAGACGCGCCGGAUUCAAAAUCCGGUUUCUUUACGGAAGUGGGGGUUCGAUUCCCCCCCUCGGCACCA
This 87-nucleotide transfer RNA is filed under the name Woeseiaceae bacterium. RNAcentral's name for it is "tRNA-Leu". It matches the Rfam family "tRNA". From Rfam's summary of the family: Transfer RNA (tRNA) molecules are approximately 80 nucleotides in length. The record is from RNAcentral. Lineage: Bacteria; Pseudomonadati; Pseudomonadota; Gammaproteobacteria; Woeseiales; Woeseiaceae.